RNAcentral lists this long non-coding RNA (1301 nucleotides) under Theobroma cacao (cacao). Its description in RNAcentral is "long non-coding RNA (TCAC_LNC005438)". The record is from RNAcentral. Lineage: Eukaryota; Viridiplantae; Streptophyta; Magnoliopsida; Malvales; Malvaceae.
GUGCCCCUCUAAUAGGCUUGUCCACAGAACCCGCCACUGUAAUGACCAAUCUAUAACCCACCAAUUCAAUAAAAAUUCAAUAGCAUGACAUGACAAUUUUAUCAUUAUCCAACCUAUCAAGGUAAACAAUAAUUUAUACAUUUUCAACACAAAUACCCAUCCAGCCAUUCAUGCCCACAUUAUCAUAAGCCAUUCAAUUCAAAACAUAAUUUAUAAUACAGUAAGUAGUCUCCAAUUACUCCAUUUUCAAAACCAUCAUUCAAUUUCAAGAUAAUUUAUAAAAUCAUUUCAUUUAAUCACAUUUUGCUUUAUAAAACAUAAAGAUUUACCAUUUAAACUCAUUUUCCAUAAAAUCACAAAAACGAAUUAAAAUUCACUUCAGAUAAUCAAGAUGAUGAUAAGGUUACGCACUGUAAUGGAAAUCGAGUUCUGAGUACUCCGAUUCUUGAUCCUCGGGUACUAUCUAUUUACUUUUUCUAGAAAGCUCACCACCUAGACAUAAUGCACAAUAAGCCAUUUACUACAUUUGUGCUAAACUGUUAUAAAACUAAUUCAGGCUCUACACUAAUGCAUGAAAUGGAAUGUGAAAUGCUCUGGUAACCAUCUAAAUGCGACGUUCAAUAUAAGUUUAAUUGUGUACCUAAAUAAAAUGGUAUUAGCCUAAUUCAAUCUAUCACCCGAUUAAUUAGCCAAUACGUCCAAUUCAACUCCAAAUAAUUCCAUUUCUCUGCCAAUACUCCAAAUCAUCAAACACAAAUGAAAUAACUUGAAAUAUGGUAAAAUCAUCCUCACAUUUUCUCUUGGAAAAAUUCAGCGAUGGAGGUUCUUGAGGGGUAUACGGUUUUUCAUGCUAAACAUUACCAUUUUCGGUUUCCACCACCACAAUUCAUUAAAUUCUAGCUAAAUAACAUAAGACAUCAUAAGAUUCAUCUUCAAUAUUUUCUUUAUGAAAUUCAGCCAAUGAAGAAUCCAUGAAGAAUAUGUGAUUUUUCUUACUUGUUUUCCUUCCAAACAGAUAAAUCAACUAAAAACACUAAAAUAUCUCAAAAUCUAACCAAAUAAAUCAUCAAAUCUUCUCUCUCUAAAUAUGGCCAGCCAUGAAUCCUUCAUGGUAUCUUGUGAUUCAACCAUGAAAAAUGCAAAAGAAUGCAUAGGAAAGAUAGAUCACAAGAUAGAGUUAAGAAAUUUCACCUUUGAUGUCUUGAUUCCUUGAAAUCUAGAGAUUUUCCCUUGAAUUUCUUAGCUAGGGUUUUGUUCUUCUUCUUUUCAUCCCUUUUCUUCCUUUAGCCGACCAAGAGAAC